CCUACGGGAGGCAGCAGUGGGGAAUUUUGGACAAUGGGCGAAAGCCUGAUCCAGCCAUUCCGCGUGAGUGAAGAAGGCCUUCGGGUUGUAAAGCUCUUUCGCAAGGGAAGAAAACUUAGUCUCUAACAUAGACUGAGGUUGACGGUACCUUGAUAAGAAGCACCGGCUAACUACGUGCCAGCAGCCGCGGUAAUACGUAGGGUGCGAGCGUUAAUCGGAAUUACUGGGCGUAAAGCGUGCGCAGGCGGUUUUGUAAGUCAGAUGUGAAAUCCCCGAGCUCAACUUGGGAACUGCGUUUGAAACUACAAGACUAGAAUAUGUCAGAGGGGGGUAGAAUUCCACGUGUAGCAGUGAAAUGCGUAGAGAUGUGGAGGAAUACCAAUGGCGAAGGCAGCCCCCUGGGAUAAUAUUGACGCUCAUGCACGAAAGCGUGGGGAGCAAACAGGAUUAGAUACCCUGGUAGUCCACGCCCUAAACGAUGUCUACUAGUUGUUGGUGGAGUAAAAUCCAUGAGUAACGCAGCUAACGCGUGAAGUAGACCGCCUGGGGAUACGGUCGCAAGAUUAAAACUCAAAGGAAUUGACCGGNNGAGAGNGACGAGACGACGACGAGGAGGAGG
This 619-nucleotide ribosomal RNA is filed under the name uncultured bacterium. Its description in RNAcentral is "bacterial SSU rRNA". It matches the Rfam family "Bacterial small subunit ribosomal RNA", at positions 338 to 950 of the family's 1533-position model. The record is from RNAcentral.